Molecule: ribosomal RNA, 321 nt
Filed under: uncultured eukaryote
Lineage: Eukaryota
Description: partial 18S ribosomal RNA
Rfam family: Eukaryotic small subunit ribosomal RNA
Source: RNAcentral
CCCUUAGAUGUCCUGGGCCGCACGCGCGCUACACUGACAUGUUCAACAAGCCUCCUAGUUCGACAGGAUUUGGGAAAUCUUUGAACGCAUGUUGUGAUAGGGAUAGAUCAUUGCAAUUAUUGAUCUUGAACGAGGAAUUCCUAGUAAACGCGAGUCAUCAGCUCGCAUUGAUUACGUCCCUGCCCUUUGUACACACCGCCCGUCGCACCUACCGAUUGAAUGUUUCGGUGAAGAUUCCGGAUAGGACUUUUUUGAUUUAUUUCAAUUCUGUCUUAAAAGCUAUCUAAACCUCAACAUUUAGAGGAAGGUGAAGUCGUAACA